This 1711-nucleotide long non-coding RNA is filed under the name Homo sapiens (human). RNAcentral describes it as "non-protein coding lnc-VRK3-2:4". Lineage: Eukaryota; Metazoa; Chordata; Mammalia; Primates; Hominidae. The record is from RNAcentral.
UUGCUCACCCCAUUUAUACAGCCUCACUCUAGAGUGGAUUCUUUGAUGGUGAAUGAGCCGAGUACUUUGGCCAAAGGCUUUCCCACACUGGUCACAUUCAAAGGGCUUCACUCCCCUGGUGUGAAUCCUCUCGUGCUGAGUUAGGUAUUUGCUGCAGCUAAAGGUUUUCUCACAUUUGUUACACUUAAAGCACUUCUCUUUCUGUUCUGGGUUCUGAUCCAAGAUCUUCCCACUCACAAAAAAUCCUUGUUUUUCUCUGGCGUGAACACUCUCGUGGCACUUCAGGGUUGAGCCGCAAAUGAAGCGUUCUCCGCACUCCUGACAUUCAUAUGGGGUUUUGACAGUGUGCAUUUUCUGGUGUUGCACAAGGCGAUUGUUAUCGCUGAAAGUCUCCUUGCAUUCAGCACAGCUAUAGGGCUUUUCUGCGGUGUGAAUGGCCUGAUGUCGCAUCAGAUGUGAGGGCCGGCUGAAACUCCUGACGCAUUCCUGACAUUUGUGGGGUCUGUAGCCUGUAUGAAUUCGCCGAUGUUCAUUAAGGUGAGUGUGCCGGUGGAAGGCCUUCCCACACUCACUGCAUUUGUAAGGCUUCUCUCCACUGUGAACCCUCUGAUGGAUCUUUAGGGUAGAGUUAUGCCUGAAGGAUUUCCCACGUUCGUUACACUUAUAAGGCUCCUCUCCAGCAUGAAGAGCCUGGUGUUCAAUGAGCAGCGAACUGUGCCUAAAAAUCUUCCCACACUCCUGACACUCAGAGGUAGUUUUUGCAGCGUGAGUUUUCUGAUGUUGGAUGAGGUGUUUUCUCAAGUUGAAGGUCGCCUGGCACUUGGAACACUCAUAGCGUUUCCGAGUGUGGAUCUUCUGGUGCCGAGUAAGGUGGAAGAUCCGGGUAAAAGCCUUGCCGCAUUCGUUACAGUUGUAGGACUUACUAUCUGUGUGAGUUUUCUGAUGCUCACCAGGCUGUGUGUCAUGACUGGGUGGGUGGUCACUAUCUUGACUCUUACAUGGUUUUUCUCCAGUGUGAGUUUUCUGAUGCCACAGGUAUGUACUCUGACUAAAAGUUGUCCCAUAUUCAUUACACACAUAGAAUUUGUAGCCCGUGUGAGUUUUCGGAUACACAGAAAGGGAAGCAUUCCGGUCAAAACCUUGCUCACACUCUUGAUGGACAGUGGGUUUCUCCCUAGUAUGAGUGAUCCAGUGCUGGGUAAGACGGUAACUCCCACUGAAGCUUUUCCCACAUUCACUACAUUGAUAUGGUUUCUCCCCUUCCUGAACAGAAUCCUGCUGGCUGUGGUCGGAGUAGGAGAAAAACUCACCCCUAUAUUCCUUAGACUUAGCUGGUGUGAGGGUCUUUUCAGAAACAUUAUGCACCAUGGAAUCUUCUCCCGUGGAAACGGUGGACACAGGACUGAGUCCUCUCUUUAAUUCAUGACUCUUGCAUUCCGUGGGACUUUCCCCGUUGGUGGCAAUAUCAGACCUCAGAAGACUUUCUGGAUCGCCUAGCAAACUAUCUAACCAGGUGUCCUCUAUACAGGCUUCUCCGAAAUUGGAGUUCCAGAAGCCAUCCUUGGAUAACAUCUCUAUAAUCUCCUGGGAGAAUCCUUCUUCGAAGAAAUCCUCCAUCAGAGGAGAGUUCUUGGUCUCAGUCACAUCUGAAAGAGCAAGUGCAAAUGUCUCCUGUUCACUAAGGGUAAGUGAGCAGAAGACUGAGGAUUUG